This 694-nucleotide ribosomal RNA is filed under the name uncultured bacterium. RNAcentral describes it as "bacterial SSU rRNA". It matches the Rfam family "Bacterial small subunit ribosomal RNA", at positions 32 to 715 of the family's 1533-position model. The record is from RNAcentral.
AACGCUAGCUACAGGCUUAACACAUGCAAGUCGAGGGGCAGCAUGGUCUUAGCUUGCUAAGGCCGAUGGCGACCGGCGCACGGGUGAGUAACACGUAUCCAACCUGCCGUCUACUCUUGGACAGCCUUCUGAAAGGAAGAUUAAUACAAGAUGGCAUCAUGAGUCCGCAUGUUCACAUGAUUAAAGGUAUUCCGGUAGACGAUGGGGAUGCGUUCCAUUAGAUAGUAGGCGGGGUAACGGCCCACCUAGUCUUCGAUGGAUAGGGGUUCUGAGAGGAAGGUCCCCCACAUUGGAACUGAGACACGGUCCAAACUCCUACGGGAGGCAGCAGUGAGGAAUAUUGGUCAAUGGGCGAGAGCCUGAACCAGCCAAGUAGCGUGAAGGAUGACUGCCCUAUGGGUUGUAAACUUCUUUUAUAAAGGAAUAAAGUCGGGUAUGGAUACCCGUUUGCAUGUACUUUAUGAAUAAGGAUCGGCUAACUCCGUGCCAGCAGCCGCGGUAAUACGGAGGAUCCGAGCGUUAUCCGGAUUUAUUGGGUUUAAAGGGAGCGUAGAUGGAUGUUUAAGUCAGUUGUGAAAGYUYGCSSCUCAACCGUAAAAUUGCAGUUGAUACUGGAUAUCUUGAGUGCAGUUGAGGCAGGCGGAAUUCGUGGUGUAGCGGUGAAAUGCUUAGAUAUCACGAAGAACUCCGAUUG